This 468-nucleotide ribosomal RNA is filed under the name uncultured bacterium. Its description in RNAcentral is "partial 16S ribosomal RNA". It matches the Rfam family "Bacterial small subunit ribosomal RNA", at positions 28 to 507 of the family's 1533-position model. The record is from RNAcentral.
GACGAACGCUGGCGGCGUGCUUAACACAUGCAAGUCGAACGGAAAGGCCCUGCUUUUGUUGGUUGCUCGAGUGGCGAACGGGUGAGUAACACGUGAGUAACCUGCCCUUGACUUUGGGAUAACUUCAGGAAACUGGGGCUAAUACCGGAUAGGAGCUCCUGCUGCAUGGUGGUGGUUGGAAAGUUUCGGCGGUUGGGGAUGGACUCGCGGCUUAUCAGCUUGUUGGUGGGGUAGUGGCUUACCAAGGCUUUGACGGGUAGCCGGCCUGAGAGGGUGACCGGCCACAUUGGGACUGAGAUACGGCGCAGAAUCCUACGGGAGGCAGCAGUGGGGAAUAUUGCACAAUGGGCGGAAGCCUGAUGCAGCAACGCCGCGUGCGGGAUGACGGCCUUCGGGUUGUAAACCGCUUUGGCAUGUGACGAAGCGUGAGUGACGGUAAUGGGUAAAGAAGCACCGGCUAACUACGUG